This 542-nucleotide ribosomal RNA is filed under the name uncultured Thermotogales bacterium. RNAcentral describes it as "bacterial SSU rRNA". It matches the Rfam family "Bacterial small subunit ribosomal RNA", at positions 384 to 917 of the family's 1533-position model. Lineage: Bacteria; Thermotogati; Thermotogota; Thermotogae; Thermotogales. The record is from RNAcentral.
UGAUCUGCGACGCCGCGUGCAGGAAGAAGGUCUUCGGAUUGUAAACUGCUGUGGUAAGGGAAAAAUGUCAUGUAGAGUGGAAAGCUACAUGGAGGGAUGGUACUUUACUAGAAAGCCCCGGCUAACUACGUGCCAGCAGCCGCGGUAAUACGUGGGGGGCGAGCGUUACCCGGAAUCACUGGGCGUAAAGGGAGCGUAGGUGGCCUGACAUGUCAACUGUGAAAACCCGGAGCUCAACUCCGGACUUGCAGUUGAAACUGCCAGGCUUGAGGACGGUAGAGGAAGACGGAACUGCCAGUGUAGGGGUAAAAUCCUUAGAUAUUGGCAGGAACGCCGGUGACGAAGGUGGUUUUCUGGGCCGGUUCUGACACUGAUGCUCGAAAGCCAGGGGAGCGAACGGGAUUAGAUACCCCGGUAGUCCUGGCCCUAAACGAUGUUCACUAGGUGUGGGGAGCGGAAAGCUUUCCGUGCUAAAGCUAACGCGAUAAGUGAACCGCCUGGGGAGUACGCCCGCAAGGGUGAAACUCAAAGGAAUGGACGGA